RNAcentral lists this ribosomal RNA (253 nucleotides) under uncultured bacterium. Its description in RNAcentral is "partial 16S ribosomal RNA". It matches the Rfam family "Bacterial small subunit ribosomal RNA", at positions 524 to 776 of the family's 1533-position model. The record is from RNAcentral.
CACGUAGGGGGCAAGCGUUGUCCGGAUUUAUUGGGCGUAAAGCGCGUGUAGGCGGCUAAGUAAGUCGGGCGUGAAAUCCCACGGCUCAACCGUGGAAGUGCACUCGAAACUGCAUAGCUAGAGUCCUGGAGAGGAAGGUGGAAUGCUUGGUGUAGAGGUGAAAUUCGUAGAUAUCAGGAAGAACACCUAUGGCGAAGGCAGCACUCUGGGACGGUACUGACGCUGAGACGCGAAAGCGUGGGGAGCGAACAGG